This 70-nucleotide transfer RNA is filed under the name Camelus bactrianus (Bactrian camel). It matches the Rfam family "tRNA". From Rfam's summary of the family: Transfer RNA (tRNA) molecules are approximately 80 nucleotides in length. Their secondary structure includes four short double-helical elements and three loops (D, anti-codon, and T loops). Further hydrogen bonds mediate the characteristic L-shaped molecular structure. tRNAs have two regions of fundamental functional importance: the anti-codon, which is responsible for specific mRNA codon recognition, and the 3' end, to which the tRNAs corresponding amino acid is attached (by aminoacyl-tRNA synthetases). tRNAs cope with the degeneracy of the genetic code in two manners: having more than one tRNA (with a specific anti-codon) for a particular amino acid; and 'wobble' base-pairing, i.e. permitting non-standard base-pairing at the 3rd anti-codon position. Lineage: Eukaryota; Metazoa; Chordata; Mammalia; Artiodactyla; Camelidae. The record is from Rfam by way of RNAcentral. RNAcentral also lists the same sequence under 3 other names.
GAGGGUAUAGCUCAGUGGUAGAGCUGCCUCAGCAUGCCUGAGGUCCUGGGUUCAAUCCCCAGUACCUCUA